AUACGGAGGAUCCGAGCGUUAUCCGGAUUUAUUGGGUUUAAAGGGUGCGCAGGCGGCCAUUUAAGUCAGCGGUUAAAUCGUGGGGCUCAACCCCAUUCUGCCGUUGAUACUGGGUGGCUUGAUUGCGGUCGAGGUUGGCGGAAUUCGUUGUGUAGCGGUGAAAUGCAUAGAUAUGACGAAGAACACCGAUUGCGUAGGCAGCUGACCAGACCGCAAAUGACGCUCAUGCACGAAAGUGCGGGGAUCGAACAGGAUUAGAUACCCUGGUAGUCCACACAGUAAACGAUGAAUACUUGUUUUCGGCGAUAUAAUGUCGGAGGCAAAGCGAAAGCGAUAAGUAUUCCACCUGGGGAGUACGCCGGCAACGGUGAAACUCAAAUGAAUUGACGGGG
This 392-nucleotide ribosomal RNA is filed under the name uncultured bacterium. RNAcentral describes it as "partial 16S ribosomal RNA". It matches the Rfam family "Bacterial small subunit ribosomal RNA", at positions 523 to 918 of the family's 1533-position model. The record is from RNAcentral.